RNAcentral lists this long non-coding RNA (261 nucleotides) under Homo sapiens (human). RNAcentral describes it as "HSALNT0128305". The record is from RNAcentral. Lineage: Eukaryota; Metazoa; Chordata; Mammalia; Primates; Hominidae.
ACACACACACAGACACACACACACACACACCCUCAUGUUUUAAAGUUUACAAAUUUGUGUUGGGCUGCAUUGAAAGUCAUCCUGGGCUGCAUACGACCUGUGGGCCAGACAAGCUUGCUCUAUCACUACAUUCCCCUUACCCACUGUUAUAUUCUUAUUUGAUUCUAGGUCUUCAUUCACCUGAGCCUUACUAAUGAUAAUCAAGGAUGCAGAUUUCUUCAACGCAGAUGCCAACCUUCAAUAUAUCCCACCUUAAGUACA